UUUCUCUCGCUAUCUCAGAUCCAAAACGUAUCUCCCCUGUGAAAAAACCAGGACAUCCAUCAUUUAGUUUCCUUAGAUUUCAUUGUUAUACAUGGAACACGCAGGUUCCUCUUUAGUGCUUAUUUUGUUCCUAUGGUUAAUCUUGGGGAUGUUUUACCUGAUUUUGGUAUUUGAUUUCGUUACAAGGGAAGAUGAAUCUCCGUUUUUGGGUAACAAAAGAUGUUCUCCAUGAUUUUGUUUUUGAUUGCCUUCCCAGAAAAGAUGAAUAACCAGUUUUAUUUUUGGGAACAACAAUCAGAUUGCAGAUUGACAGAAUGGCUACUACUGUUCUUCCAACCCCCACAUCGGUAGUACCGACUUUUGGAAUCCUAACACUGAAAGACUUUCAGCAAAAAAAUGGAAUUGGACCAUGGAUGACCCGAGUUCGCAUUGUCCGGUUGUGGCACGAAUCGGACUUCAUGACAACUAAUGAUGUUACCAACCUUGAUUUGCUCCUGCUGGAUGACACCGGUGACCUCAUUCACGCAAUUUUUCAGAAGAAAUUCAUCUAGAAAUUUGAACCCCUGCUAGAAGAGGGGAUGAUGUUGUGUCUUAAAAAUUUGACAUUUGCCCAAAAAAAAAAAUGUUCCGCCCCACCCAGAAUGACUACCGCGCAUACUUUAACUGGAAUACCGAUAUUACUCCUCUUGAAACCACCGGUGCGUCGAUGCCUCGCCACAAGUUCACUUUCACUGAGUUUGAGGACCUUGCAGCUGCUACCGCCAAUACUUACCUUACUGGUGACUUCAUUGAAUAUUACAUCUGUUGCUUCCCAAAUUGUGCUUAAAUCACCUAAUAUUUCCUUAUUGUUGUUUGCAGAUGUUGUAGGCGUGUUAACCAUCCACACAAACUUGCAGCAGCUUAAGCGAACUUCUGGCAACGCAUGUUUCAUGCGUGAACUAACACUGGAAAACAUAAGCGGUGUGAAGCUUAAGGUCACACUAUGGGGUGAGUCCACUUCUGAGCUUACCGGGAACCUGUAAGGAUAUGUGUUUAUUGUGCUCGCUGGUGUUCAUCUGGUGAGACCUAGAUAUGCCGUGCAGUUUUUUUUCCAAUUCUUGGAUAUAUGUCAAUAUGAAUACAUUUGAAAUGAACUGAGAAACAUUACUUUAAAUCCUAAUGGGGUGGACCAGCUAGAAGGGAACUUUAGUCCUGGCGUAUUAUAAAAAGGGAUGGUGCUGGAUCAAGUUAAAGAAAUGGCAGUGGUGUCGUUUAACAAUUUGGUUUGGAGCAAGUGGUUACAUAUUGAAGGUUCUUGUAUAGCAUAGUCAAUUUUUCAUAAUGUUUUGCCUCCAAGAGUGACGUUUCAGCGUAUUAGGGAGUCCAAGUACUGUUUUAUGUAUGAUUGUUGUGUUCAACGGAAGUGGAAGAUACAAGUGUCAUGCUGAUACAUUAUGAGCUUGCUUUAACUGUUUGAAAUUUCUUCAUUUUAUCCUUGGGAUUAAGCUGGGUGCUGUCAAGGGGUGUUCAAACUCAAUCUGAAGUUUGAGCUAUAAUAAGCUACAAGGCAUAGAACUAUUGGUGCGAAGGUUCUGUGUGCAGUAGUUUGGGAGAUAUGGAAGAAGGCAGUGCUAGAUUGUAUGUGAAGCAAGCAAAAAUAUUAUCUAAUAUUGUCAGUAACAGUCUCAUUCUCCAGGGUUCUAAUGAUAUCUCAUUCAGGGGAUACUCUAUUUCACAAUUUAUUUUCAAUUGGGACUUGGGGGGAGACUGAAAUGACGAGCACCGUUGUUCGUCCUUGAUAAAUAUUUUUGUUCUUUAAUAAAUUUAUUGGAAGUUCGGUUCACUGAUU
Molecule: long non-coding RNA, 1828 nt
Organism: Papaver somniferum (opium poppy)
Lineage: Eukaryota; Viridiplantae; Streptophyta; Magnoliopsida; Ranunculales; Papaveraceae
Exons: 4
Source: RefSeq, a predicted model, not a curated record